CAGUAGCCGCGGGAAAACGAAGGGUGCAAGCGUUACUCGGAAUUACUGGGCGUAAAGCGUGCGUAGGUGGUGGUUUAAGUCCGUUGUGAAAGCCCUGGGCUCAACCUGGGAAUUGCAGUGGAUACUGGGUCACUAGAGUGUGGUAGAGGAUAGUGGAAUUUCCGGUGUAGCAGUGAAAUGCGUAGAGAUUGGAAGGAACAUCUGUGGCGAAGGCGACUAUCUGGGCCAACACUGACACUGAGGCACGAAAGCGUGGGGAGCAAACAGGAUUAGAUACCCGCGUAUCCCUGUCUCUUAUACA
Molecule: ribosomal RNA, 301 nt
Filed under: uncultured bacterium
Lineage: Bacteria
Description: partial 16S ribosomal RNA
Rfam family: Bacterial small subunit ribosomal RNA
Source: RNAcentral